RNAcentral lists this ribosomal RNA (446 nucleotides) under uncultured bacterium. RNAcentral's name for it is "partial 16S ribosomal RNA". It matches the Rfam family "Bacterial small subunit ribosomal RNA", at positions 338 to 795 of the family's 1533-position model. The record is from RNAcentral.
CCUACGGGGGGCAGCAGUCGAGAAUCAUUCACAAUGGGGGAAACCCUGAUGGUGCGACGCCGCGUGGGGGAAUGAAGGUCUUCGGAUUGUAAACCCCUGUCAUGUGGGAGCAAAUUAAAAAGAUAGUACCACAAGAGGAAGAGACGGCUAACUCUGUGCCGGCAGCCGCGGUAAUACAGAGGUCUCAAGCGUUGUUCGGAAUCACUGGGCGUAAGGCGUGCGUAGGCUGUUUCGUAAGUCGUGUGUGAAAGGCGCGGGCUCAACCCGCGGACGGCACAUGAUACUGCGAGACUAGAGUAAUGGAGGGGGAACCGGAAUUCUCGGUGUAGCAGUGAAAUGCGUAGAUAUCGAGAGGAACACUCGUGGCGAAGGCGGGUUCCUGGACAUUAACUGACGCUGAGGCACGAAGGCCAGGGGAGCGAAAGGGAUUAGAUACCCCUGUAGUC